Molecule: long non-coding RNA, 487 nt
Organism: Helianthus annuus (common sunflower)
Lineage: Eukaryota; Viridiplantae; Streptophyta; Magnoliopsida; Asterales; Asteraceae
Exons: 3
Source: RefSeq, a predicted model, not a curated record
CAAACCGUUUCCAUAAUUUGCGAGACUUUCAAACACUAUAAAACUGAAGCUUUCUUCACCGAUUUACCGACACAACUCCGCAACAUUGUUUCGCACAUCCCUCUUCACUGUUCGACACCCUCACAAACCCUUCAUCCUCUCGACACCUACCAUUCAAGUUUCCACAUCACUUGAAAAACCCACACACCUUCACCACAUCUUUACGCUCAAACCGCAUACUCGUCGGAGAAGUCGGGUCGUCGCUGUAGAGUUACGGGCCUCGCCGGACCUGCAAGUGGCCGGACACGUAUCCACGCCGGAGUUCGCCUGAGUUCGAGACGUCGCCAAAGAACCGAACGCCGUCGGAGUUCACGUUAACUGUUCGGAUAAACCGUUCGCUCUCUUGGAAAUUUCUAAUCUUUACUCGUGCGUUAUUACAAGAAAACGCAACGCAAUCAGUGUUGAUAGUCAAGAUGAUGAAAAGGGUAGUUGCACGGUACCCCUGACC